Molecule: non-coding RNA, 195 nt
Organism: Oryza glumipatula
Lineage: Eukaryota; Viridiplantae; Streptophyta; Magnoliopsida; Poales; Poaceae
Source: Rfam
AAUAAGCUUUCCGUGUAACAUUUGGCUGUCCAUAUUAUAUAAAUUUUUUUUAUAAUUAAUAUUUUUAUUGUUGUUAGAAGAUAAAGCAUAAUUAAUACUUUAUGCGUGACUUGUCUUUUUAAUUUUUUUCAUAAUUUUUUUCAAAUAAGACGGACGGUUAAACGUUGGACACGGAAAUCCAGGGUUUGUCUUUUU